CUUCUUCUUCUUUCAGGGUUAUUGUCUUGUGAAUUCAAAGAAUGAAAUCCAUAGACAAGGAUGAGUGAGUGUAAGGAUUUAUUGAAGAACAGAAGCAGAAACAGAACUCUUGCAAUGGAAGAGGAGACCUGAUAGCAGGUUUUCUCCAUCUGUGUGCACUAGUCUAUGGGUUUAUAAAGCACUGGAAUCACUGCUAUUGAUCCAAACUUAUGCUAUUCUUUUUUUUUUUACAAUACUUUUAUUUAUUUAUUUUUUUUAUGUAGUGCUGAGGAUUGAACUCAGGGCCUUGCAUGUGCUAAGUGAGCACUCUACCACUGAGCCACAACCCCAGCCCCAAACUUACGCUAAUUAAGGUUCGGAAAUGUACUAACUCUUGAGUCCCAACUUCCAUUCAGGUCUGCCUCACUUCUAUUUUCUCACCACAGGUCAGGAAGCAGGAGGUUGAGGUCAUUCAUUGGACAAUCUAUAUUCACAUUUUCUGGGCUGCUGUGCUGUGUGGCUGCAGCUGACAUCUGUUCCGUGUCUAGGCCUGGCUGCUAAAGGGUGACAGGUCUGCACACCCUGGUUUUUAGCACCUCAUGACUGCCACACCUGCAUGAUGGGCUCCAUGUGGCCACAGGCCAUGCGUGCCACCUGUGCUCCAACCCACCCACGCUGCCACUCUGCUACUCUACCGCUCCUCAGAUACUCUUGGGAGGGACCCAUAGACUGGCUGUGUGGCCUGGCAGCCAGGGAGCUGUGUCAGUAUGGAAAAUCAUAGGAAAAAUAAAUGUUUAUGGAUGAGAAAGUAUGUUAUAUGAUAAAGUAAUAUUCUUGUGCUAAAGUCCAAGAUGAAAAAGGACAAAACUAAGGAUAUAAAUAAGUUGUAGAAUGUCUAAGUAGGUUGCAAAAGGUUUGUAGAAGGUAAAUCUCAAGAAGUUCCUGUAUGUGGGCUGGGGUUGUGGUUCAGUGGAAGAGCCCUUGCCUCACAUGUGUGAGGCCCUGGGUUCGAUCCUCAGCACCAUAUAAAAAUAAAUAAAUAAUGUAAAGGUGUUGUGUCCAUCUACAACUAAAUCAUCAUCAUCAUCAUCAUCAUCAUCAUCAUCAUCAUCAAACGUUCCUGUAUGUGAUUCAAGUUGGCUAUAAUCAGCAGGAAAUUAUUCAAGGUUUUUUGUAAGGUUAACUUUUAAUAUGCUAAUUCUCUAUGUUUAGAAAUAACAAGGUCUCCUUAAAAUGUUGAUUUGCUCUUUAUGUAAUAGAGGUCCAUUUUUAAAAGUAAACUUUGCUGCCUGGCCACUGUGGCUUAUUUCAAAACUGACACUUUUUCCCCCUUUCUCUUCUCCCUCUCCACCUCCCUAACUUGAGAGAGAGAAAGCAAAACAGAACAGCCUGAAUUAAGAUAAUAAGGCUUCAUCUACAGGAUGCUGAAUGUGCAAAAUCACAACAUAUUCACACUAAGGCACAUUAUAAUAAAAAUGUCCAACAUAACAGAAAAAGGAGAGAAUUUAAAAAGCCACAAGAGAAAGGAAUCAGAUUACACAUAG
Molecule: long non-coding RNA, 1523 nt
Filed under: Marmota monax (woodchuck)
Lineage: Eukaryota; Metazoa; Chordata; Mammalia; Rodentia; Sciuridae
Source: RNAcentral